RNAcentral lists this ribosomal RNA (451 nucleotides) under uncultured bacterium. RNAcentral's name for it is "bacterial SSU rRNA". It matches the Rfam family "Bacterial small subunit ribosomal RNA", at positions 354 to 796 of the family's 1533-position model. The record is from RNAcentral.
GUGGGGAGUUUUGCGCAAUGGGGGAAACCCUGACGCAGCGACGCCGCGUGGGCGAUGAAGGCCUUCGGGUCGUAAAGCCCUGUCAAGCGGGACGAAACGCAGAGGUUUGAAUAGGGCCUCUGUCUGACGGUACCGCUGGAGGAAGCCCCGGCCAACUCCGUGCCAGCAGCCGCGGUAAUACGGAGGGGGCGAGCGUUAUUCGGAAUUAUUGGGCGUAAAGGGCGUGUAGGCGGCUUCGUGUGUCUCUUGUGAAAGCCCUCGGCUCAACCGGGGAACUGCAGGAGAAACUGCGGAGCUCGAGUCCGGGAGAGGAGAGCGGAAUUCCCAGUGUAGCGGUGAAAUGCGUAGAUAUUGGGAGGAACACCGGUGGCGAAGGCGGCUCUCUGGACCGGUACUGACGCUGAGACGCGAAAGCUAGGGGAGCAAACGGGAUUAGAAACCCCGGUAGUCC